CACAUAACUACCCCUGUGUGUGGUGUGUGUGUGUAGACUACCAGUUGGCUCAAAAAACAAAGCGAUUUUCAUGAGCAAUAGGAUGGGGAGGUAAAAAAUGUAACUGACAGAAGACAACAGAGAGCAAUGCAAAAUACAACACACAUGGCUACCUAACAGCAGCAAUAAUUUUAAAAGAGGAUCUUAUACGAAAGGCAGGCAUUCAACAGGAAGGUAUAUGCUUCUCCUCCCAAGCAGGGCAAAGCGGUAAUGGGGAAAGUUGCACCCAGAAAAGGCACAGAAUAUCUGUCAGAAAAAGACUGUGUCCCUGAAUAAUAGUGACUAAAAGAUAGUUAAGGGCCUGGUUCAUAUGCACAACCCUCAUCAGUUAAGUAUGAGUGGGAAAGCUUUACACCAUUCAAGUGGAAAUGAUGUUGCUCUUUGUCAAUUUCCCAGUGUUAUUUUUAGACACUGCUAAUACACCUGCAACGUGUAUUGCAAAACCCAUUCCUAACUGCAGCAAUACAGCCAUCACCACAUUCCCAGCAGGUUGAAUGUAGGAUUAUCUAAAUUGUCAAACUGCUUUUAGACAUGACAUACAGUCCUAUUUCCAUGAGUAAUCCCAUGAUGAGUAGUGCUUUGUGUUUAUGAAGCAGGAGCUGUACAUAAAACAAUUAUGCACUAGUAAUGUGUUAUCCUGUUUCGACUGUGCUGGUCUGACUAAUAUUGUUCACACUAUCAAUCCACUGAACUUUGCUUGUAAAAGUAGAUCAAUGCUGAUUUGGUAGAUUCCAGGCUAAUCCAGCAGGGUUGGCAACCCUAUGUAUCUCCUCCUUAAAGAUGACAAUAGGACAUAUAAGUCAUGCAUCUCUUUCUCUGUGCCAUAGAAAAAGUCUCAGUAAAUGACAGAGUGAGUGACUCUAAGGCUAAGAUGUGUAUAGUUGUUUUUUUUAAUAGAUCCAGUAUAAAGACUGAAAUGGUCAAAUACAUGACUCUUAUCUGUGCAGCUA
Molecule: long non-coding RNA, 989 nt
Organism: Hemicordylus capensis (graceful crag lizard)
Lineage: Eukaryota; Metazoa; Chordata; Lepidosauria; Squamata; Cordylidae
Exons: 2
Source: RefSeq, a predicted model, not a curated record